This 779-nucleotide small RNA is filed under the name Arabidopsis thaliana (thale cress). Its description in RNAcentral is "ATSL204230". Lineage: Eukaryota; Viridiplantae; Streptophyta; Magnoliopsida; Brassicales; Brassicaceae. The record is from RNAcentral.
AACGAAGCUUCUUCUUGCUUCUCAAAGCAUUGAUGGUUUAGCCGAAGUCCAUAUGACUCUUUAUCUUUAUAUCUUCUAACAAGGAAACACAACUUAGGCCUUUACGAUAAGGUUGCGGUUUAAGUUCUUAUACUCAAUCAUACACAUGACAUCAAGUCAUAUUCGACUCCAAAACUAUAAUCAAGCUUCUUCUUGCUUCUCAAAGCUUUGAUGGUUUAGCCGAAGUCCAUAUGAGUCUUUGUCUUUCUAUCUUCUAACAAGGAAACACUACUUAGGCUUUUAGGAUAAGCAAGCGGUUUAAGUUCUUAUACUCAAUCAUACACAUGACAUCAAGUCAUAUUCGACUCCAAAACACUAACCAAGAUUCUUCUUGCUUCUAAAAGCUUUGAUGGUUUAGCCGAAGUCCAUAUGAGUCUUUGUCUUUGUAUCUUCUAACAAGGAAACACUACUUAGGCUUUUAGGAUAAGAUUGAAGUUUAAGUUCUUAUACUAAUCAUACACAUGACACCAAGUUAUAUUCGACUCAAAAACACUAACCAAGCUUCUUCUUGCUUCUCAAAGCUUUGAUGGUUUAGCCAAAGUCCAUAUGAGUCUUUGUCUUUGUAUCUUCUAACAAGGAAACACUACUUAGGCCUUUAGGAUAAGGUUGCGGUUUAAGUUUUUAUACUCAAUCAUACACAUAACAUCAAGUCAUAUUCGAGUCAAAAACACUAACCAAGCUUCUUCUUUCUUCUCAAAGCUUUGAUGGUUUAGCCGAAGUCCAUAUGAGUCUUUGUAUUU